CCUACGGGAGGCAGCAGUGAGGAAUAUUGGUCAAUGGGCGAGAGCCUGAACCAGCCAAGUCGCGUGAGGGAAGACGGUCCUCUGGAUUGUAAACCUCUUUUGUCGGGGAGCACAAAGGCCUCGUGAGGCCACAAGUGAGAGUACCCGAAGAAAAAGCAUCGGCUAACUCCGUGCCAGCAGCCGCGGUAAUACGGAGGAUGCGAGCGUUAUCCGAUUUUAUUGGGGUAAAAGGGUGCGUAGGCGGACUGGAAAGCCAGCGGUAAAAUCGAGCGGCUAAACCUCUUUCCGCCGUUGAAACUGUCGGUCUUGAGUGGGCGAGAAGUAUGCGGAAUGCGAGGUGUAGCGGUGAAAUGCAUAGAUAUCACGAAGAACUCCGGUGGCGAAGGCGGCAUACCGGCGCCCGACUGACGCUGAGGAGCGAAAGCGUGGGUAUCGAACAGGAUUAGAUACCCCUGUAGUC
This 460-nucleotide ribosomal RNA is filed under the name uncultured bacterium. Its description in RNAcentral is "partial 16S ribosomal RNA". It matches the Rfam family "Bacterial small subunit ribosomal RNA", at positions 338 to 795 of the family's 1533-position model. The record is from RNAcentral.